AUGCGGAUCCAUCUGGCCACCAUAUCGUACGAUGCGUUACAGCGCCGCCGCAUCGCACCGGCUACCACACCGCGCCUCCGCCUCUCCCUCUUAUCUCCGCUCUUCCACCACAGGCAUCGCAUUUGCUCGUCGACGACGGGGACAACGUCGCUCGUCCCCAACCUGUCCCCAACUGGCCACCGUCCCAUCACCAACUGUGCUCAGAGUUUGCAGUCUAUCCAUCACCUGACGAAGGCGCAGAGUUUAGACUUGCCAGUGCUCCCGGCUUGGCCCGAACUCCCAAAGCAUCAGUCCAGCCGACCCCUGCAAGUGCAAUGGAUCGAAGCUGGAUACAAGGAACGCGUUUCACACCACCAUACAUGA
This 363-nucleotide ribosomal RNA is filed under the name Triticum aestivum (bread wheat). RNAcentral describes it as "partial small subunit ribosomal RNA". Lineage: Eukaryota; Viridiplantae; Streptophyta; Magnoliopsida; Poales; Poaceae. The record is from RNAcentral.